CAGAAUGUGGCUCUAAAUGCAGAGCUUCCCAGGUGCAAUGGCUGGAAACCUCAGGUCAAAAAGGUCGUGGGGUGGGGACGGUGGGAAAACCAACCCCACUGCCCCUUCCCCUGCAGCAGUGAGUUACGCGUGGGCUGAGCCAGUAGGAGAGAGCAGUGACUCGGAAGGGAUCACUGACAGACUCUCCCCGGAAUUGCCAGAGCCUGUAAACAAGAACUUCUGCAUGACACGCAUGUGCUCUACUUCUAAGCUGAUGGUCAUCUCCUUGAGCAAAGGGCACAUAAAAUAUGCUGUACCCAAACUUUGGCCCCUUCGACGCUGCCCUAUAUCCCAGGAUCUGAUCCCAGAUCAUCUGCUUUGAACUGGAUAAGUCUACACCGCCAGAUAAUCCAAGUCAGAUCAUCUGAGGUCAGAAACAGUGUAGAUCCAGCCAAUGUUUCUGAUUAAGAGAGCCACCAUUAGUGGUUUGAGUAAUGGACUACAACACUGGGUUCAAGUAACAACAGCAUUGGCUGCCUCCUGGUUCUUGUUGAACUCAGGUAUUAUUGGAAAUUUCAGCUAGUUCAAAGAGUCCUCAAGGGAGCUAGCUACAAGGACCGAACAACUCCCUGACUAAAACAGCUCCACUGGCUGCCGAUUAGCUGCCGGGCCCAAUUCAAGGUGCAAGUUAUGGCCUAUAAAGCCCUAAACGGUUUGGGCCCCACCGAUCUUCACGAUCGCAACUCCCCCGAUGCCCCAGUGCGGUCCCUUAGAUCCUCCGGUGAGGUGCUCCUCUCGAUCCCACUGCCGUCCCAAGUAUGGCUGGUGGGGACGAGAGAGAGAGAGAGAGGGCCUUUUCGGCGGUGGCCCCCCGCCUCUGGAACACCCUACCCAAAGAGAUAAGGUUAGCUCCAUCAAGAACAUCUUUUCGUAGGGACUUGAAAACUUGGUGGUUCCAAUGGGUUUUUGGAAAUGACUAAUCUGAACCUUAGACACUAUUUGGGGUCUAGAUUAGUUUUGGAAGCGAUCAUCUUGUAAUCCCUAGACGCCUCUCUGGCCAGUACAAGACUUCUGUCCUGCACCUUUCCUGCUCCUUGAUCUUGUUAUGGUGUUUGUUUUCAAGUUCUAUCUGAUAGCUAUAUAGUAGGCUGAAGUGGUGCAACCCUGGCCUAGGUUCCUUUGCUAUCAGCCACACUUCACCCCUGGCUUAUGCCUAUUUUUAUUAGGUUAGUUUUACCCUGGCCCAUAUUGCCAUCUUGUUCACUUUAUAUAUUAUACCCAUUGGCUCUAGAAUCACCCAAGGGUGCGGUUGAAAUUGUUUUUAUUUAUUGGUUUAAUUGUUUUUAAAUGUUUGGAAUUUUAAACAUGGUUGUUAAUUAUUAUACUGGUUUUUGUAUCUUGUAUGAUGUAUAUGUAUUGAAUGUUUCAUUAUGUGUACACUGCUUUGAGUCCCACACGGGAGAUACAGCGGUAUAUAAAGUUUUGUUGUUGUU
Long non-coding RNA from Anolis carolinensis (green anole), 1472 nucleotides. RefSeq lists it as uncharacterized. NCBI's taxonomy places the organism in Eukaryota, Metazoa, Chordata, Lepidosauria, Squamata, Anolidae. The record is from RefSeq and is a predicted model, not a curated record. The transcript has 2 exons.